RNAcentral lists this ribosomal RNA (479 nucleotides) under uncultured bacterium. Its description in RNAcentral is "bacterial SSU rRNA". It matches the Rfam family "Bacterial small subunit ribosomal RNA", at positions 32 to 507 of the family's 1533-position model. The record is from RNAcentral.
AACGCUGGCGGCAUGCCUUACACAUGCAAGUCGAACGGCAGCACGGGAGCAAUCCUGGUGGCGAGUGGCGAACGGGUGAGUAAUAUAUCGGAACGUGCCCAGUCGUGGGGGAUAACGUAGCGAAAGCUACGCUAAUACCGCAUACGAUCUAUGGAUGAAAGCGGGGGAUCGCAAGACCUCGCGCGAUUGGAGCGGCCGAUAUCAGAUUAGGUAGUUGGUGAGGUAAAGGCUCACCAAGCCGACGAUCUGUAGCUGGUCUGAGAGGACGACCAGCCACACUGGGACUGAGACACGGCCCAGACUCCUACGGGAGGCAGCAGUGGGGAAUUUUGGACAAUGGGCGCAAGCCUGAUCCAGCAAUGCCGCGUGCAGGAUGAAGGCCUUCGGGUUGUAAACUGCUUUGUACGGAACGAAACGGUGAGCUCUAAUACAGUUUGCUAAUGACGGUACCGUAAGAAUAAGCACCGGCUAACUACGUG